GAUGAACGCUGGCGGCGUGCUUAACACAUGCAAGUCGAACGGAAAGGCCACAGCUUGCUGUGGUACUCGAGUGGCGAACGGGUGAGUAACACGUGGGUGAUGUGCCCUGUACUUCGGGAUAAGCUUGGGAAACUGGGUCUAAUACCGGAUAGGAAUCACAUGUGGGUGUGUGGUUGGAAAGCUUUUGCGGUAUGGGAUGAGCUCGCGGCCUAUCAGCUUGUUGGUGGGGUAAUGGCCUACCAAGGCGUCGACGGGUAGCCGGCCUGAGAGGGUGUACGGCCACAUUGGGACUGAGAUACGGCCCAGACUCCUACGGGAGGCAGCAGUGGGGAAUAUUGCACAAUGGGCGCAAGCCUGAUGCAGCGACGCCGCGUGGGGGAUGACGGCCUUCGGGUUGUAAACUCCUUUCGUCAGGGACGAAGCGAAAGUGACGGUACCUGGAUAAGAAGCACCGGCUAACUACGUG
RNAcentral lists this ribosomal RNA (466 nucleotides) under uncultured bacterium. RNAcentral's name for it is "partial 16S ribosomal RNA". It matches the Rfam family "Bacterial small subunit ribosomal RNA", at positions 28 to 507 of the family's 1533-position model. The record is from RNAcentral.